RNAcentral lists this non-coding RNA (18 nucleotides) under Arabidopsis thaliana (thale cress). RNAcentral also lists the same sequence under 1 other name. The record is from RNAcentral. Lineage: Eukaryota; Viridiplantae; Streptophyta; Magnoliopsida; Brassicales; Brassicaceae.
GAAAGAAGACCCUGUUGA